Long non-coding RNA from Astatotilapia calliptera (eastern happy), 518 nucleotides. Lineage: Eukaryota; Metazoa; Chordata; Actinopteri; Cichliformes; Cichlidae. The record is from Ensembl.
GGACUUUGCUUGGUCUUGGUCUUGGCCUCAGUCCUGAUCAUAAAAUGGAUCAUGGAUCAACAAAGUCCUUCUACAGAGCAAAGAUCUUCCAAAAGUCUUCGCCUCACUGUGCGUGCAGAUAGACUCACACCUGCCUGCUGCCAUUCCUGAGCAAGCUCUGCACUGAUGGCACUUUGAUACCGCAGCUGAGUCAUCUUUAGGAGACCAUCCUGGCGCUUGCUGGACUUUCUUGGACGCCCUGAAGCCUUCUUAACAAUAAUUGAACCUCUUUCCUUGAAGUUCUUGAUGAUCUGAUAUAUGGUUGAUUUAGGGCCCCAGUUUCCAUGUGUAUCAUCCUUCAUUCAGUGGCCAAGAGAAUAUUGCAGGCCGAGAGAUAAAAGUCCACGUUUUGAGAUGUGGAGGUGGAAAUGGUCAGACAUAUAUCAGCUAGGAAAUUAUAAUUUUCAUCUGCUAGGAGGGUUGUGUUUGGGACUCUGAUGAACUUUUACUUACUUUUUCUGCAGGAUUUUGCAUUGGCA